RNAcentral lists this ribosomal RNA (432 nucleotides) under Triticum aestivum (bread wheat). RNAcentral describes it as "partial small subunit ribosomal RNA". Lineage: Eukaryota; Viridiplantae; Streptophyta; Magnoliopsida; Poales; Poaceae. The record is from RNAcentral.
AUGCAGGCGACUAUGAGGUGGCGGGGCAGUCGACGGGCCCUGGGCAUGCCGGCGCACGCGUUCUCGUCGACCAAUGGGCUAUUCUCCGGGACGCAUUGGGGGUGCUCAGCGGCUUCGUGUUGCGCGCGUCGCUGGACGCAGCCGUCGAUUAGGGAUCGCUGGCGGGUGCACGAGAUGGACGACCUGCUCAGGUUUGGCUACUCGAUGGAGAAUGACAACCAGGCGCGGAUCCGCCUGACUAUCAUGUCACGGGAGUUGACGAAAGACGACGUCGUCACGGUAUCCAGAGCCUGUACGAGAGCAACUCAAACUUCAAGGGCGUCACGCCGCCGGCGACGAGCUGCAGGGAAAUCCACAGCGGUCUGCGAGCAUGCACUUCGCGCGGUGGAGCGGCUUGGCUGGCGUAGCGCGCACAAGCGUUUGUGUGGGUAG